UGCUCAUUGUGGGUUGCUGACGAGAUGAGUAUGUGGAAGCACCGCAAGGUCACUGCUGCCCUUGUUUAUUGAUAGGUCACUGCUGCCCAACGUGCUGCAACAUGCCAUACACAGAAAGCUCAAUGACGUUAGAAAAGGUACAUCGCCUAAAAAAUAUGAAUUAGUUCUACAUAGAAGAGAUGCAAUAACCACCGAACCAGACGCGAAAUCUGGUUAGAUAACACCGACAUUAUCAAACGAAUUUCAGUGUUGCAGAGAAUCCAGAUUUUUCUGAACAACAGGACGGGCCCACAGCUGUCAACAGAAUCCUGGAGCAGAUCAUUCAGCUUGCCACAUUCCCGAAGUAUACAAUUCCUGAACUCCAAGCACUCGGUUUUUUAAAUUCUAUACAAAACGAGAUACUAGAAAGUUGAAAUGGUGGUAAUCCUCGAGAAUUCAUGAGUGCUGAAUAAGCAUCCGAGACAUCAUUUCAAACGAACCACAAUGAAAUCUACUGUGCUAAAAAUACUCUCUUCUUAUGACAAAGAAAAACAAACCCGACAACUCACCUUU
This 552-nucleotide long non-coding RNA is filed under the name Physcomitrium patens. RNAcentral describes it as "long non-coding RNA (PPAT_LNC013535)". The record is from RNAcentral. Lineage: Eukaryota; Viridiplantae; Streptophyta; Bryopsida; Funariales; Funariaceae.